UACGGAGGGUGCAAGCGUUAAUCGGAAUUACUGGGCGUAAAGCGCACGCAGGUGGCUGAGUCAGUCGAUUGUGAAAGCCCUGGGCUUAACCUGGGAAUUGCAGUCGAUACUACUCAGCUAGAGUAUGGGAGAGGGUAGUGGAAUUCCCGGUGUAGCGGUGAAAUGCGUAGAUAUUGGGAGGAACACCAGUGGCGAAGGCGGUCCCCUGGGCCGGCAUUGACGCUGAGGAGCGAAAGCCAGGGGAGCAAACGGG
This 253-nucleotide ribosomal RNA is filed under the name uncultured bacterium. RNAcentral's name for it is "partial 16S ribosomal RNA". It matches the Rfam family "Bacterial small subunit ribosomal RNA", at positions 524 to 776 of the family's 1533-position model. The record is from RNAcentral.